AGAGUUUGAUCAUGGCUCAGAUUGAACGCUGGCGGCAUGCCUUACACAUGCAAGUCGAGCGGCAGCGCGGGGGCAACCCUGGCGGCGAGCGGCGAACGGGUGAGUAAUACAUCGGAACGUGUCCAGUAGCGGGGGAUAACCUGUCGAAAGAUAGGCUAAUACCGCAUACGACCUACGGGUGAAAGCGGGGGACCGCAAGGCCUCGCACUAUUGGAGCGGCCGAUGUCGGAUUAGCUAGUUGGCGGGGUAACGGCCCACCAAGGCGACGAUCCGUAGCUGGUCUGAGAGGACGACCAGCCACACUGGAACUGAGACACGGUCCAGACUCCUACGGGAGGCAGCAGUGGGGAAUUUUGGACAAUGGGCGCAAGCCUGAUCCAGCCAUGCCGCGUGAGUGAAGAAGGCCUUCGGGUUGUAAAGCUCUUUUACCAGGGAUGAUAAUGACAGUACCUGAGAAUAG
Molecule: ribosomal RNA, 460 nt
Filed under: uncultured Methylibium sp.
Lineage: Bacteria; Pseudomonadati; Pseudomonadota; Betaproteobacteria; Burkholderiales; Sphaerotilaceae
Description: bacterial SSU rRNA
Rfam family: Bacterial small subunit ribosomal RNA
Source: RNAcentral